GAUGAACGCUGGCGGCGUGCCUAAUACAUGCAAGUCGAGCGAAUGGAUUAAGAGCUUGCUCGUAUGAAGUUAGCGGCGGACGGGUGAGUAACACGUGAGUAACCUGCCCAUAAGACUGGGAUAACUCCGGAAAACCGGGGCUAAUACCGGAUCACAUUUUGAACCGCAUGGUUCGAAAUUGAAAGGCGGCUUCGGCUGUCACUUAUGGAUGGACCCGCGUCGCAUUAGCUAGUUGGUGAGGUAACGGCUCACCAAGGCAACGAUGCGUAGCCGACCUGAGAGGGUGAGCGGCCACACUGGGACUGAGACACGGCCCAGAAUCCUACGGGAGGCAGCAGUAGGGAAUCUUCCGCAAUGGACGAAAGUCUGACGGAGCAACGCCGCGUGAGUGAUGAAGGCUUUCGGGUCGUAAAACUCUGUUGUUAGGGAAGAACAGGUGCUAGUUGAAUAAGCUGGCACCUUGACGGUACCUAACCAGAAAGCCACGGCUAACUUCGUGCCAGCAGCCGCGGUAA
RNAcentral lists this ribosomal RNA (515 nucleotides) under uncultured bacterium. RNAcentral describes it as "partial 16S ribosomal RNA". It matches the Rfam family "Bacterial small subunit ribosomal RNA", at positions 28 to 523 of the family's 1533-position model. The record is from RNAcentral.